UUCUGGCUCAGGAUGAACGCUGGCGGCGUGCUUAACACAUGCAAGUCGAACGAAGCCAAAAGGAAGCUUGCUUCUUGAAGCUUAGUGGCGGACGGGUGAGUAACGCGUGAGGAACCUGCCCUUCAGUGGGGAAUAACAGCCGGAAACGACUGCUAAUACCGCAUAACGUCAUCGGACCGCAUGAUCUGAUGACCAAAGGAUUUAUUCGCUGAAGGAUGGCCUCGCGUCCGAUUAGGCAGUUGGUGAGGUAACGGCCCACCAAACCUACGAUCGGUAGCCGAACUGAGAGGUUGAUCGGCCACAUUGGGACUGAGACACGGCCCAGACUCCUACGGGAGGCAGCAGUGGGGAAUAUUGGGCAAUGGGCGAAAGCCCUGACCCAGCAACGCCGCGUGAAGGAAGACGGUCUUCGGAUUGUAAACUUCUUUGAUUGGGGAGGAACACAAUGACCUACCCAAAGAACAAGUCACGGCUAACUACGUGCCAGCCGCUGC
This 494-nucleotide ribosomal RNA is filed under the name uncultured bacterium. RNAcentral's name for it is "bacterial SSU rRNA". It matches the Rfam family "Bacterial small subunit ribosomal RNA", at positions 17 to 518 of the family's 1533-position model. The record is from RNAcentral.